UAGUCCACACCGUAAACGAUGAGAGCUAGUUGUCUGCAGGCAUGCCUGUAGGUGACGCAGCUAACGCAUUAAGCUCUCCGCCUGGGGAGUACGGUCGCAAGAUUAAAACUCAAAGGAAUUGACGGGGGCCUGCACAAGCGGUGGAGCAUGUGGUUUAAUUCGACGCAACGCGCAGAACCUUACCAGCUUUUGACAUCCUGGUCGCGGAUUUGGGAGACCAUUUCCUUCAGUUCGGCUGGACCAGUGACAGGUGCUGCAUGGCUGUCGUCAGCUCGUGUCGUGAGAUGUUGGGUUAAGUCCCGCAACGAGCGCAACCCUCAUCCUUAGUUGCCAGCAUUUAGUUGGGCACUCUGAGGAAACUGCCGGUGAUAAGCCGGAGGAAGGUGGGGAUGACGUCAAGUCCUCAUGGCCCUUACAAGCUGGGCUACACACGUGCUACAAUGGCGAUGACAGUGAGCAGCUAACCCGCGAGGGC
RNAcentral lists this ribosomal RNA (475 nucleotides) under uncultured bacterium. Its description in RNAcentral is "bacterial SSU rRNA". It matches the Rfam family "Bacterial small subunit ribosomal RNA", at positions 791 to 1264 of the family's 1533-position model. The record is from RNAcentral.